Non-coding RNA from Pelobates cultripes (western spadefoot toad), 164 nucleotides. The record is from the annotation of a GenBank genome assembly. NCBI's taxonomy places the organism in Eukaryota, Metazoa, Chordata, Amphibia, Anura, Pelobatidae.
UCCAAAAAGGUAAUAGGUGCACUCAUAGGUCUUGUUUCCCGUGUUUCUUUUAUUUGGUUGUGCCGACUGGUCGGUAGUAUUUGAUUUUGCACAUGUAAUUUGCACAACUAAAUAAAAGAACCACUGGAAAUAAGACCUAUGAGUGCACCUAUUACCUUUUUGGA